UGCCAGCCGCCGCGGUAAUACGAAGGGGGCUAGCGUUGUUCGGAAUCACUGGGCGUAAAGCGCACGUAGGCGGAUAUUUAAGUUAGGGGUGAAAUCCGGGGCUCAACCUCGGAACUGCCUCUAAUACUGGAUAUCUUGAGUCCGAGAGAGGUUAGUGGAAUUCCUAGUGUAGAGGUGAAAUUCGUAGAUAUUAGGAAGAACACCAGUGGCGAAGGCGGCUAACUGGCUCGGUACUGACGCUGAGGUGCGAAAGCGUGGGGAGCAAACAGGAUUAGAUA
This 278-nucleotide ribosomal RNA is filed under the name uncultured bacterium. RNAcentral describes it as "partial 16S ribosomal RNA". It matches the Rfam family "Bacterial small subunit ribosomal RNA", at positions 506 to 784 of the family's 1533-position model. The record is from RNAcentral.